This 229-nucleotide ribosomal RNA is filed under the name uncultured bacterium. RNAcentral describes it as "partial 16S ribosomal RNA". It matches the Rfam family "Bacterial small subunit ribosomal RNA", at positions 568 to 796 of the family's 1533-position model. The record is from RNAcentral.
UACGUAGGCGGAUGGCCAAGUAUCUUGUGAAAUCCCUCGGCUCAACCGAGGAAUUGCAGGGUAAACUGGUCGUCUUGAGGCAGGUAGAGGUAACUGGAACUCAUGGUGGAGCGGUGGAAUGCGUAGAUAUCAUGGGGAACGCCAAAGGUGAAGAUAAGUUACUGGGCCUGUCCUGACGCUGAGGUACGAAAGCGUGGGUAGCAAACAGGAUUAGAUACCCUGGUAGUCC